Long non-coding RNA from Silurus meridionalis, 1874 nucleotides. RefSeq lists it as uncharacterized. NCBI's taxonomy places the organism in Eukaryota, Metazoa, Chordata, Actinopteri, Siluriformes, Siluridae. The transcript is spliced from 3 exons. The record is from RefSeq and is a predicted model, not a curated record.
UCUUCAAACUUUAACACAGUUUCUUCAUUUCCAACCUAUCACAUGAAGCUUCAGAGUCAGUAACACUCACAGCUCAACUAACGAGUCGCUGCCUUGUUUUGCCUUUUCUACCUUCAGUUACAUGGUGCUGUCAAGAAGGAUCGGUCAUGAGCCAUUGUACGCCCAAGCCAAAGUGUCCAGGUUGCCAUCAGGAAGUUGCCACGAGCUCGAAGGCACAGUGUGUUCCCUGCAAAUUGUGUUCCAAAGUCAAACGUCGUGUGUUUCGCUUCUGCUGGGAUUGUCAGCGAGAGUGGCCACAGAGCGCUUCAUCUAGCAGCAGCUGCACACUGCAGAACUGCGCUCUCCGGGCUGCUCUGCUCUCAGACACACGAAUCAGUGAUCGCAACAGUUCGGCAUUUGGAUGUCCCUAUUUCAGGGCCUGUCCUAGAUGCAACGCUCUGCUCACACACAAUGGACAAGGCUGUCCCAACAUUAAAUGCCCCAAGUGCAACACAUAUUUCUGCUUCCGUUGUCUUCAGCUAAGAUGCUUUGGUAGAGCUUUGAUUUUUUCUAAUAUGAUAUGGAAUAUGGACAGACUGACUGAAGCUGCACAAAGUUGUACUAUAGUGGAUAAUAACCAGAGUCUGUUAAGAAUUCCGCAGUAAAAUCAGUCUGUAAGAGAUCAAAUAGAAAUAAGUCUCCUGUAGUAAAGUUAAAUAACACAAUAUAAGUUACAUUGUGCUUCUUAGUAUAAAAAAAUAUUUUACUCUUUUUAAUAAAAAUACAUUGAAUUAAUGGUGAUGGUAAAUGAUUUGCAAUCAAUUUUGUUUAAUCAUAGUUUGUAAUCACGAUUUUUGUGUACAAAGCUAAUUGUUCUAUAUAAAUUUGUAAAAUGUUGAUGUACUAAAUUGUUGAUUUAUUGUGAUUUUUAAUUUUUUUUAUUAAUGAUCAUGUUUACAUGUUUGAAUCAUAAAUACACCUUUUUCUAGGAUGCAGAAGAAUGAUUGAUGGAAUAAUCAAAAAAGUAUAAGAGAAAUACUGGGGUCAAUGGUCCUCUGGUCCAGCAGCAAUUUAGUCAUGAUUAGUAUAAUUAUCACCUACAUGACAUUAAAACAACCUGCUGAAUAUUGUGUAGGUCAAAUUUUUCUACUUAAACAACUCCAAACGCUCAAGGUCUGGACUCCACAAGGCCUCUGAAGGUGUGCUCUGGUAUCUGGCACCAAGAUAUUAGCAGCAGACUAUUUAAAUACUGUAAGUUGGGGACUUCAUUGAACGGAUCUGUUUGUAUUACAUAUCCUACCGACGAUUGAUCAGAGUGAGAUUUGGGGAACCCGGAGGUCAAAAAUGCAAUACUUUUUUAUUGUUUUUCAAUCCAUUCCUGAAGUGUAUUUGUGCUGUAAUAAUGGCUAAGAAGGUGAUAAAUGUCAAAGUAUCAUUGCCCAAAGCAACAAUGCUUCCACUGGCUUGCUUUUUUCUAAAAGGGCAUCCUGGUGGCAUCUCUGCAGCUUUGGUACAUUCAUGGAACACCCCAUAAGAUCUGACAUUUUGGAGAUACAUUAACACAGUCAUCUGUUCAUUAAGGAUUGACCUGUCAAAGUCACUCAGAUCCCUCAAACAUGCCUAUUAUUCCUGCUUCCAACACAUCAGCUUUGAGAAUUAACUGUUCAAUUGCUGCCUGACAUAUCUAUAAUCUUGAACUCUUGACAGGUGAGAUUGUAAUAUGACAAACAACUUAUAUCUGUCAACCCUUGUGCAUUUAUUAGAGCCCAAAGUCAUGUGGUAAAAUCAGGAAAAAAGGUUCUGCAGUGACAUUAAUUCAUAAAGUAUGUGACUUAUGGGAUUUUGUACAACAACUGUGUAACUAAAAGAACUUGACUAAAUAUUUUUGUUUCGGU